Molecule: ribosomal RNA, 465 nt
Filed under: uncultured bacterium
Lineage: Bacteria
Description: partial 16S ribosomal RNA
Rfam family: Bacterial small subunit ribosomal RNA
Source: RNAcentral
CUACGGGGUGCUCCAGUGGGGAAUAUUGCGCAAUGGGGGAAACCCUGACGCAGUGACGCCGUGUGAGUGAUGAAGGUUUUCGGAUCGUAAAGCUCUGUCAGAUGGGAAGAAUAAAGACAGAAAAAAUAUUUCUGCCUGAUGACGGUACCAUCAGAGGAAGCACCGGCUAACUCCGUGCCAGCAGCCGCGGUAAUACGGAGGGUGCAAACGUUGUUCGGAAUUACUGGGCGUAAAGCGCAUGUAGGCGGAUAUGUAGGUCAGAUGUGAAAGCCCUUGGCUCAACCAAGGAAGUGCAUCUGAAACCACAUAUCUUGAGUAUGACAGAGGGAAGUGGAAUUCCAAGUGUAGAGGUGAAAUUCAUAGAUAUUUGGAAGAACACCGGUGGCGAAGGCGGCUUUCUGGGUCAUAACUGACGCUGAGAUGCGAAAGCGUGGGUAGCAAACAGGAUUAGAUACCCUCGUAGUC